CCUCAUUGUGUUUUCACUUGCGGCAGCAGUGGCUCCUGGAUUCAGCGCUGGAAAAACCUUAAGUUCCUUAAGUUAAAACAAUAGAAGACAAUGGAAGCUAUAAAAACGCAAAGCAAAACUUGCUCUCAGGCACAAGGUAUUGAGCAGGAGCAGAAAAAGCCAAGGAGGAAAGACACUCCAGUUCUUUAUAUACCACCUCUCACUCCAGGAGUUAAAUUAAUGAAAGAAGAGAAACAAACAGUUUUCACGGAAGAAGAAGAAGAAGAGCAAGAAGCAAAGAAUUAACACUGAAACUUAACCUUCGUGCUUUGCUUUGCUGUGCAUUUUAAAAACUCUUCUUAAAAAC
This is a long non-coding RNA of Erpetoichthys calabaricus (reedfish), 346 nucleotides long. RefSeq lists it as uncharacterized. Lineage: Eukaryota; Metazoa; Chordata; Cladistia; Polypteriformes; Polypteridae. The transcript has 3 exons. The record is from RefSeq and is a predicted model, not a curated record.